Molecule: ribosomal RNA, 492 nt
Filed under: uncultured bacterium
Lineage: Bacteria
Description: partial 16S ribosomal RNA
Rfam family: Bacterial small subunit ribosomal RNA
Source: RNAcentral
AGUGAACGCUGGCGGUAGGCCUAACACAUGCAAGUCGAACGGCAGCACAGUAAGAGCUUGCUCUUACGGGUGGCGAGUGGCGGACGGGUGAGGAAUACAUCGGAAUCUACUUUUUCGUGGGUGAUAACGUAGGGAAACUUACGCUAAUACCGCAUACGACCUACGGGUGAAAGCAGGGGAUCUUCGGACCUUGCGCGAUUGAAUGAGCCGAUGUCGGAUUAGCUAGUUGGCGGGGUAAAGGCACACCAAGGCGACGAUGCGUAGCUGGUCUGAGAGGAUGAUCAGCCACACUGGAACUGAGACACGGUCCAGACUCCUACGGGAGGCAGCAGUGGGGAAUAUUGGACAAUGGGCGCAAGCCUGAUCCAGCCAUACCGCGUGGGUGAAGAAGGCCUUCGGGUUGUAAAGCCCUUUUGUUGGGAAAGAAAAGCAGCAGGUUAAUACCCCGCUGUUCUGACGGUACCCAAAGAAUAAGCACCGGCUAACUUCGUG